UACGGGGGGGGUAAGCGUUGUCCGGAUUUAUUGGGCGUAAAGAGCGUGUAGGCGGCUAGAUAGGUCCGUUGUGAAAACUCGAGGCUCAACCUCGAGACGCCGGUGGAAACCAUCUAGCUAGAGUCCGGAAGAGGAGAGUGGAAUUCCUGGUGUAGCGGUGAAAUGCGCAGAUAUCAGGAAGAACACCCGUGGCGAAGGCGGCUCUCUGGGACGUGACUGACGCUGAGACGCGAAAGCGUGGGGAGCGAACAGG
Molecule: ribosomal RNA, 253 nt
Filed under: uncultured bacterium
Lineage: Bacteria
Description: partial 16S ribosomal RNA
Rfam family: Bacterial small subunit ribosomal RNA
Source: RNAcentral